This 468-nucleotide ribosomal RNA is filed under the name uncultured bacterium. RNAcentral describes it as "partial 16S ribosomal RNA". It matches the Rfam family "Bacterial small subunit ribosomal RNA", at positions 28 to 507 of the family's 1533-position model. The record is from RNAcentral.
GACGAACGCUGGCGGCGUGCUUAACACAUGCAAGUCGAACGGAAAGGCUCCGCCUUUGUGGGGUGCUCGAGUGGCGAACGGGUGAGUAACACGUGAGUAACCUGCCCUUGACUUUGGGAUAACCUCUGGAAACUGGGGCUAAUACCGGAUAGGAGCUUCUGCUGCAUGGGGGGGGUUGGAAAAGUUCGUCGGUUGGGGAUGGACUCGCGGCCUAUCAGCUUGUUGGUGGGGUAGUGGCUUACCAAGGCUUUGACGGGUAGCCGGCCUGAGAGGGCGACCGGCCACAUUGGGACUGAGAUACGGCCCAGACUCCUACGGGAGGCAGCAGUGGGGAAUAUUGCACAAUGGGCGAAAGCCUGAUGCAGCGACGCCGCGUGCGGGAUGACGGCCUUCGGGUUGUAAACCGCUUUCGGCUGGGACGAAGCGUGAGUGACGGUAAUUGGUAAAGAAGCACCGGCUAACUACGUG